RNAcentral lists this long non-coding RNA (213 nucleotides) under Capsicum annuum. Its description in RNAcentral is "long non-coding RNA (CANN_LNC009324)". Lineage: Eukaryota; Viridiplantae; Streptophyta; Magnoliopsida; Solanales; Solanaceae. The record is from RNAcentral.
ACGGGAUCGAGGGGUGCCUAACACCUUCCCCUCGGUCAACAGAAUUCCUUAGCCGGAAUCUCUGCUCGCAAACCAGUUUAAAGAGUCAAAUGAUUUUGAAAAGGAUUUUCCAAUGGUGACUUGGCACACCAGAUUAUGCCAAGUGGCGACUCUGAAUAAAAAAUGUUAAUAAUCCUUUUCCAAAAUAAAUUUUCAUUUCUUGUCACUUAAAUA